CUGGUCUGGAGGUGUGAAUCCAGCAGCGUCUCUCACAGUGAGUCCUCACAGACUGCAGCACUUCAGCACAGAGUCACUGUCACUGAGCUGUGAGGGAAACUCUGCUGAGUGGAGAGUGAUGAAGGCUGAUGAAUCUGGCUUCAUGUCAUCCUGUUCUUACUGGGGACAAAUGACUGGAUCCACAUGCAACACCACUAGAGCGAGUAGUGGAGUGUACUGGUGUGAGUCUGCAACACAGUCCAGCAAUGCAGCCAACAUCACUACACACAGUGGUGAUGUCAUCCUGGUGAGUUCUGUCCAUCCUGUGACUGAGGGACAUUCGGUCACUCUUGGCUGCAUGUUGAGGACAAAAGAACAUCUUGAUAAUGUGGAUUUCUAUAAAAAUGACAAACUCCUCCCAAAUGGUGUCGGAGGGGAGCUGCUUAUCUCUGCAGUUACUAAGUCAGAUGAAGGCUUUUAUAAAUGUAGAGGAAGGAAUUCACCUCCAGGUUUGGAGACUUUGACCUCAGCAGAGAGCUGGUUGUCAGUGGAACGUGAGUACGAGUAGAAGAUGUUUUCUUUGUAAUAUGUGUUACAGUCUGAGUUACAAAAGGUGUAACUGAAUUAAACUAUUUGUUUGUGUGAGACAAUAUAGUUUUGUACAUU
Molecule: non-coding RNA, 645 nt
Organism: Gasterosteus aculeatus aculeatus (three-spined stickleback)
Lineage: Eukaryota; Metazoa; Chordata; Actinopteri; Perciformes; Gasterosteidae
Source: RefSeq, a predicted model, not a curated record